This 498-nucleotide ribosomal RNA is filed under the name uncultured bacterium. RNAcentral describes it as "partial 16S ribosomal RNA". It matches the Rfam family "Bacterial small subunit ribosomal RNA", at positions 355 to 866 of the family's 1533-position model. The record is from RNAcentral.
UGGGGAAUAUUGCACAAUGGGCGAAAGCCUGAUGCAGCAACGCCGCGUGAGGGACGACGGCCUUCGGGUUGUAAACCUCUUUUAGCAAGGAAGAAGCGAAAGUGACGGUACUUGCAGAAAAAGCGCCGGCUAACUACGUGCCAGCAGCCGCGGUAAUACGUAGGGCGCAAGCGUUAUCCGGAAUUAUUGGGCGUAAAGAGCUCGUAGGCGGUUUGUCGCGUCUGCUGUGAAAACCCGAGGCUCAACCUCGGGCCUGCAGUGGGUACGGGCAGACUAGAGUGCGGUAGGGGAGAUUGGAACUCCUGGUGUAGCGGUGGAAUGCGCAGAUAUCAGGAAGAACACCGAUGGCGAAGGCAGAUCUCUGGGCCGUAACUGACGCUGAGGAGCGAAAGGGUGGGGAGCAAACAGGCUUAGAUACCCUGGUAGUCCACCCGUAAACGUUGGAACUAGUUGUGGGUCCAUUCCACGGAUUCCGUGACGCAGCUAACGCAUUAAGUU